Molecule: ribosomal RNA, 205 nt
Filed under: uncultured bacterium
Lineage: Bacteria
Description: partial 16S ribosomal RNA
Rfam family: Bacterial small subunit ribosomal RNA
Source: RNAcentral
CUCGUAGGUGGCCAACUAAGUCAGACGUGAAAUCCCUCGGCUUAACCGGGGAACUGCGUCUGAUACUGGAUGGCUUGAGUAUGGGAGAGGGAUGCGGAAUUCCAGGUGUAGCGGUGAAAUGCGUAGAUAUCUGGAGGAACACCGGUGGCGAAGGCGGCAUCCUGGACCAUUACUGACGCUGAGGAGCGAAAGCCAGGGGAGCAAC